Molecule: small nuclear RNA, 19 nt
Filed under: Arabidopsis thaliana (thale cress)
Lineage: Eukaryota; Viridiplantae; Streptophyta; Magnoliopsida; Brassicales; Brassicaceae
Description: snRNA_11344
Source: RNAcentral
UGUCCUAAGAUGAGCUCAA